GAGAGAGAGAGAGAGAGAGAGAGAGGAGGAAGGAAACCAGGAGAGAGGGAGGGACGUGAGGGGGCGGGGAGGAUGAGAAAAUCAGAAACAGAGGUGGUCAGUGAGGGCAAAGAGGGAAAAUAAGUCCAGGAAAUGAGGGAGGGGGGUGCUAGAAAGCUCCAUGGUGGCAAACAAAAGACAAACUUAACCUGCAUUCUUCGAGGAUUGUUGCCAUCAUCUUGUGUUUCUUGCCUCUUUGCACCUUCUAUCUAUCAAUAGCCAAACUGGAAUUCCAAAGUGGCCCACCUACCAUUUUUUUCUUGUCUGCAUGGCCCUCUUCUUCUGCCAUCUGGUACCUGAUGAACAAGUCAGUGAUGCUUUUGAGUGGACAAGGUCACCGGAGGGCUCUACCCAGAAGUCCUCUCAGCCAAUCAGAGGGCAGCAUUCAUCUCCACCUGGCAGCGAAGAGAUAUUCGAUGUGGGAUGAAAAUAAGGUGGACAUUCGUGUGGGAAGCAGGGUGGUACUAGGGGGAGGGAGAUCCCAGGCUAAUUUACUGGAAACCGAGCUAUCACGGUCAACAGCUCCUUCCAGGAUGUGACUCAUUCAUGAACUGCACGGGGGUCGCGAGGAAGGGAGGAAAUGGAUUGGUGCCUUUAUUUGGGCUCAGGCACCAAGAGCGGCUUGAAAUUGCUUCAUUGUUGUUAUUCUGGACAAUUAAGACUUUCCAUGCUCAAAAUGCUUGGGAUUUAUUCUUACAAUUAAAUUAAAAUGAAUUAAUAAAAAAUAGUCAGGAUUCUUUUAAAACUAGAAAAAAUAUAUACCAAAUUUCUCUUAAAAAAUAUUCAAUUUUUUCCUUAUUGAGGUGAUGUUAGGCCUUUGUCUUUGUGACAUACUUACGUACAUGGGCAUAUGACAUGAGGAGCCAGCUGAAAGGUUACUUGAGGAGUGACUCACUCACUCAGUCUACUGACGUCGUCCAAUUUGAACUCUAAAUUGUUGACUCAGUAGACGAACGCAUCCGCUCACGACAACCAACAAAUCAUGAUCAAUUCUAUCUAUCUAUUAUUCUAUCUCUCUAUAGCUCUAGCUAUCAAUUAAUCAUUCUGUUUGUAAUUAAAUAUUUUGUAAUCAACUUACUGUCACUUGAAAAUUCUUGAAAUGUGAACAAAUUCAAAACGCAGAAGAUUGUAUCAAGUAUCUAGCAUCAAUUUAUUACUCAAAGCAAUGACUUGAUUCCCCUGAAGUAAUAUGUAUAUUUGAAUUGCGAUUGGUUAAAGAAACAGUCAGAAACACUAGGUAGAUGAAAUUGAUGAAGGCUGAAAUCUGAUUGGACUGCACACCGUAUUUGAAACUUUUGUUGACAGCAGGACAGGCGUUGUCUUUUGCUGUUGCAAUGUUCAGCUCAAUCAAUGAUCACUUUAAGCAAAAGUAAAAAAAAAAAAAAGUACAGGUUCUGAAUUGCACAGUACAAAAUUAUUCUUGUGUGUGUGUGUGUGUGUGUGUGUGUAUUGCUGGGUGUGUUUAUACACUUUUGCUACAAGUCAUUGUUUUUUGUUUUAUUGUUUGUUUGUUUUUUUGUCUGUUUGUUUGUUUUUUUCUACAAGUCAUUGUUGUCUCAUUAACAGCAUCAUGCCUCUUUCACUAUCAGUAAAGCGUUUGUCUUGUAAAUCAGGUGCAGUAAUACAACAUGUCCACCAGAUGGCGAAACGCGCCUUCUCUUUUGAAGACUGCUCCUUUGUGACGUUAGCGCACCUCUACCAAAGGUUUAAAAGACGACAAACAAAACAAGAAAACAAAAUACUUCAAUUAUCAGUAGAGGUUAAAGAGUACUGAUGUACAAUUGUAAAUGUUUUGAUCAGUUUUUCAGUUAUAAACUUUAAUUGAGCAUUUAUUUUGCCUGACGAUUUGUUUUACUUUUACUACUUACAUUAAAAAUAAGUAUCUGAA
Long non-coding RNA from Syngnathus typhle (broad-nosed pipefish), 1927 nucleotides. RefSeq lists it as uncharacterized. The record is from RefSeq and is a predicted model, not a curated record. NCBI's taxonomy places the organism in Eukaryota, Metazoa, Chordata, Actinopteri, Syngnathiformes, Syngnathidae. The transcript is spliced from 2 exons.